CCAUUGCUUUUUUCCGGGUUUUCCUUUUACUCAAAAUUGCCCCGCCCCGCCACCCCCACCUUCUUACCUUGCCAUUCUACCUUCUCAUUCCUUCGUUGUUUCUUUCAUAGGAUGGAGGAGAAAUUUCCAGGCAAACACCUGCCUUGUACUACCCGAGCGACGUAAGUUGGGUAAGCUCUAACCUCUUGCCCUCCAAGGUCUUUACCUCCCUCACCUGCUGAGAAUUGGCCAUGUUGCAAAUACCGCAGGAAUAAAAAGAGAAAUUUUAGGUUUCACGUAUUCCGGUAAAAGUAGAUUUCAUAGACUAGCUCGGGGUCUUCAGAUUUCCCUAUGAAUAUAUUGGAUUACUCGUAUAAAAUUGGCGUUUAUGUGAUGGAAAUGCUUCGUGAAUGCCUUUUGCUGCGUUUUUGAAAAAUAAUUGUCAGGGUUUGUUUUUACUUAAACUGGGCUACUCAGGAGAUGCCUCGAGUUGUGAACAAGGGCGCCAUUAGUACUUUGUUUUGUUCUUUUAUCAAAACUUGUGUGGUUCCAAAUUAAUUUUUGUUGCUCAGAUGUUUGCUAAAUUCUAAAUAACAGCAUUUGUUAAACUUGUAGAUGUUAUAGAGUAAGUUUACGUAAACUGAUAGGCUAGAUAAGGUUUAACAUGUGAAAGAUCUGAACUUAAUUUUCUAUAUUAAAGGUAGGAAGGAAUAUGACUUUAUUCAAGUAGUUGAUUCAUUUCAUUACCUCUACAAUGGGCAUAAAGCAAAAAGAGAAACAUGAGUAUGUAGUUUAAGUUACUUUAAGGGGUGAAGAUCUGAAUCCAGUAAAUUUCCUUUAUUCUUAGAUAUAUAAAAAGGCUAUGACUUUAUUCAAGUAGCUGACCUACCUUGUUAUCAACUGGUAUGGAGUGUGAAAGAUACGAAUGUAGUAACUUUCCUUAUUUCUUGGAGAUAGAAAAGUAUCUGAAAAGAAUUUUAGAAAUAUUAAAGUGUUCUGUUUUGUUCUAUCCACAACUGACAUGAGGCAAAAAAGUGAACAACAUACUUUUUCCAUUUGAGACUUGUUAAUAUCUUGAAUUUUCCAAAAGAAUUUAAAAGUGAAGUGAUUUGCAGCAAACAAUUUCUGAAAAAUUUAAUCUUUACUUUCUGCAAUUUGGUGAGAUUGCUUAACUUUGGAAAUUCUUUUCACAUUUCAAAUGUUCUAAAGUAAAAUAUAUACAUUAAAAAUAUUUUUAACAUGCAGUUUCUUUAAAAAGUAAAAGCAGUUAAAAAAAGAAAAAGAGGUGUGAGAGUGGGACCAUAACUAAAGGUCCCACUAGUUUAUCACUUGUCUCAUCCAUUCCUCCUUCCUUCUCCCUCCUUUCACUCAUGUUAAACCACGAUUUCUUUUCUCCAGUGAAUCUCUUGCAUGUCUAAUUCCAUCUUGGCAGCUGCUUCUAGGGGCAACUUGAAAUAAUAAACUUCCAUACUUAUAAAAUACUUCAAGUUAUACCUCAAAAUCCACAACAUACUUUACAAAAUACCUCAAGCUCAUAGCACAGAUGAAGAGGCGAUUGUUUUUCUUUAAAAAUUUUUACUCCCAAAGCCAUAUAUAUAUGCCAUAUAUAUAUAUAUACAUAUAUAUAUAUAUUACACAUAUUAUAUAUAUUAGUACACACACACACCCACACACACACACACACCCCUGGAGAUUAGAUUUAAAGAGAUUCAGUCACUUGCCUGAUGUCACCCAACUGGUAGUAGAAAGGCUUAAUGAACCUCAGAUCUUUUCCCAACAUUCUUAAUGAACAUUUAAAAGGGAUUCUGAAUAAGAUUACUGCAUGUUUGUCAUCAGAAACUUUGAAGGCCACAAGGCAGUGAGCCGAUAUAUGCAAAAUGGUAAAAUAAAAACCCCUGUAAACCAAUAAUCCUAUGUUUGGCAAAAAUUGUCCUUCAAAAGCAGUGGCUCAUGCCUGUAAUCCCGUCACUUUGGGAGGUCAAGGCUAGUGUAUAGUUGAGAUCAGGACCAGUCUGACCAACAUGGAGAAACCCCAUCUCUACUAAAAAAUGUAAAAAUUAGCCUGGCCUGGUGGUGCAUUCCUGUAAUCCCAGUUACCUGGGAGGCUGAGGCAGACAAUCGCUAGAAUUGGGGAGGCAGAGGAUGCAGUGAGCCGAGAUUGCACCACUGCACUCCAGGCGGGAGACAGAGUAAGACACUAUUUCAGAAAAAUAAAAAAAAAGAACACCUGACAGAACAGAAGUAAAGAAACAUAGGACUCAAACAAAUAAUCCAACUAGAUCUAACACAUAUAUAGAACACUCGACUCACAGAAUUCAUAGUCUUCUGAAGUGCAUAUGGGAUAUUUUUCAAGUUAGACCACAUGAGACAAAUUAAUUCUCAAUAGAUUUAAAAAGAUAGAUAUCAUACAAAGUAUCUUCUCUGACCUCAACAACACAAAAUUAGAAAUCAAUAAUGAAAGAUAAACUAUAAAAUUUAUGAAUUUGUAGAAAUUAAACAAAAUGCUCUUAACCACUGGAUCAAAGAAGAAAUUAAAAGAGAAAUAUAAAAUAUUAAGAGACAAAUGAGAAUAAAAAUAGCAUGCAAAAACUUAUAGGACACAGUGAAAACAAUGCUAAGGAGAAAAAAUUGUAGCUAUAAAUGCUUACAUUAAAAAACAAGAAAUAUCUCAAAUCAACAACCUAACUUUACAAUUUAAGGAAGUAGAAAAAGAACAAAGUAAACCCAAAUCCAGCAGAGGAAAGGAAAUAAGAUUAGAGCAGAGUUAAAUACAAUAGAGAAUAGAAAAAUAAUAGAGAAAAAUCAAUGAAACCAAAAGUUAGUUCUUUGAAAAGAUCAACCAAAUUGACAAAUCUUUAGAUAGUAAUCAAGAGAGGUUAAGGGUGACUAUCCUAAUAACAGACAAAAUAGACAGAAAAAAGAAGACUAAAAUUACUAAAAUGAGAAAUGAAAGUGGAACUGUUACUACCAAUUCCACAGAAACAGAAAGAAUUAUAAGAAGAGCAUACUAUUAGCAAUUAUAUGCCAGCAAACUGAAAAGCCUGUAAAAUAUACAAUUACUAGAAAUACAGACCUUAUCACCACUAAGCCACAAAGAAGUAAAAAAAAAUCUGAAUAGACCUAUAACUAGUUAGGAGGUUAAGUCAGUAAUCAAAUAUCACUCAACAAAGAAAAACCCUGAACCUGAUGGCUUCAAUGGUAAACUUGACCAAACAUUUAAAGGAGGACUAAUACCAAUCAUUCUCAAAUGUUUCCCAAAAGAAUAAAGAGAAAGAAACACUCUUAACACAUUUUGUGAGGCCAGCAUUGCCCUGAUACCAAAGGCAGAAAAUUACGUUACCAUAAAACUAAAGAUCAAUAUCCCUUGUGAGUAUUGAUACAAAAAUCCUCAGUAAAAUACUAGCAAACCAAAUUCAGCAGCAUGUUGAAAGGAUUAUUUAUCAUGACCAAGUGAGAUUUAUUCCUGGAAUGCAAGAAUGGCUUAAAAUAUGAAAAUUGAUCAAAGUAUUAGACCACAUUAACAGAAUGAAAGGAAACAAACCUGAUCAUCUCAAUUGAUGCAAAAAAUUAUUUGACAAAAAUGAACACUCUUUUGUGACAAAAAGACUCAAAAAAUUAGAAAUGGAAAAAAUACCUCAAAAUGAUAAAGUCACAUUUAAAACAUUCACAGUAAAUAUCGCAUUUAAUGAUAAAACAAUGAAAGCUUUUCCUCCAAAAGCAGGAAGAAGGCAACGAUGCUUACUUUCACCACUUCUGUUCAACAUGGUAUUGUGAAAGUCCUAGCCAGAGCAAUUAGAUAAGAGAAGAGAAAUAAAAGGCAUCCAAAUGGAAAAGAAGUAAAAUGAUCUCUGUUUGCAAAUAAUAUGAUCUUAUAUGUAUAAAACAAAAAAUCCACGAAAAUAUUAGAAUUAAUUAAGAAAUUCAGCAAAAUAACAGGAUACAAGGUAAACAUAAAACAGUUGCAUUUCUGUACACUAACAAUGAAAAAUCUGAAAAAAAAAAAAAAAAAGAGGUAAGAAAACAGUUCCAGUUACAGUAGCACUUAAAAAGAAUAAAGACACUUAGGAAUUAACCAAGGAUAAGGAGGUUGUACACUGAAAACUGUGAAAACUUUCUAAAAUAAAUUAAAGAAAGUAUAAAAAAGUGGAAAGCAUAAAUAAAUUUGAAGAUUUAAUAUUGUUCAGAUGUCAAUACUACCUAAAGUGAUUUAUAGAUUUAAUGCAAUGUUUAUCAAUAUCCUAAAUGACUUAUUUUUUGCAGAAAUAGAAAAACACAUUCUAAAAUUCAUAUGGAAUCUCAAGUGACCCCAAAUAGCCAAAACAAUCUUGCAAAAAAGAAUAAAGAAUAUAUCCUGAUUUUAAAACUUACUACAAAGCUACGAAAAUUAAAACAGUGGGGCAUAAAAACAGACAUAUAGAACAGUGGAAUAGAAUAGACAGUUCCAAAACAUUCCUUGCAUAUAUGGUCAAAUGAUUUUAGACAAGGGUGUCAAGACCAUUCAAUAGAGAAAAGACAGCCUUUUUAAACAUGCAGUGCUGGGAAAACUGGAUAUGUCCUCAUGCAAAAGAAUGAAGCUGGAUCCUUAUGUAACAUCAUAUAUAAAAAUUAAUUCAAAAUGGAUUCAUUAAUUAAUAAUGUAAGACCUAAAUCUAUAAAACUCUUAGAAAACACAGGGCAGAAUUUCACAACAUUGGAUUUGGCAUGACACCAAAGGCACAGGCAAUAAUAACAAAAAGACAAAUUGGAAGGCCAAGGUGGGUGGAUCACCUGAGGUCAGGAUUUCAAGACCAGCCUGGCCAACAUGGUGAAACCCCAUCUCUGCUAAAAAUACAAAGAAAAUUAGCAGGGCACCUGCAAUCCCAGCUACUCAGGAGGAUGAGGCUGGAGAAUCACUUGAACCCAGGAGGCAGAGGUUGCAGUGAGUGGAGAUUGUGUUACUGCACUCCAGCCUGGGCAACAGAGUGAGACUCUGUCUCAAAAAAAAAUAAAAAGAAAAAUUGAAUUUAAUGGCCAGGUGUGGUGCUCAUGCCUGUAAUACCAGCACUUUUGGAGGCCAAAUUGUAAGGAUCACUUAAGCCCAGGAAUUCAAGACAAGCCUGGGCAACAUGGCAAGCUCCCAUCUUGGUAUAAGAAAAAAAAAAAGAAAAAAAUUGAACUUCAUCAAAAUGUAAAAAUUUUGUGCAUAGACAUUAGCAACAGAGUAAAAAGACAACCAAAAGGGAAAAUAUGUACAAAUCAUCUAUUUUAUAAGAGAUUAAUAUCUAGAGUAUAUAGAGAACUCUAAAACUCAACAACCAAAUGAUGCAAGCAAUUCAUUUCCAAAAUGAGCAAAGAACUUAAAUAGACGUUUCUACAAACUAGAUAUGUAAAUGGCCAAUAAGCCCAUGAAGAGAUGCUCAGCAUCACAAAUCAUUAGAGAAAUAUAUGUUAAAACUGUAAGGAAAUACCACCUCAUACCUAUUAGGAUGGCUGAUAUAAAAACGAACAGAAAAUAGUAAGUGUUGGUGAGGAUGUGAAUAAAUUGAAACUCAUGCUUUAUUGGUGGGAAUGUAACAUGGUACAGUUGCUUUGGAAAACAGUAUGGCUGUUUCUCAAGAAUUUAAAAAUAAAAUUAUCAUAUGAUUUAGCAAAUUCUACUUCUUGGUUUAUACUCAAAAUAAUUGAAAGCAGGAACUUGAAGACAUAAUUGUAUACUCAUGUUGAUAGCAGCAUUAUUCACAAUAGCCAGUGCUAAAAACAACUAUCCAUGGAUUGAUGAAUAAACAAAAUGUGGUAUUAACAUGCAGUGGAAUAUUAUUUAAUCCUAAUGAAGAAGGAAAUUCUGACAUGAUACAAUAUGGCUGAACCUUGAAGACAUUAUGCUAAGUGAAAUAAGCCAUUCACACAAGGACAAAUAUUGUAAUUUCACUUACGUUAGCUACCUAGAGUAGUCAAAUUUAUACAGGCAGAAAGUAACAUGGUCGUUGGCAAGGUCUGGGUGGAUGGGGAAUGGGAAAUUAUUGUUUAAUGAGUAUAGAGUUUUGUAAGAUGAAAAGUUCUGGAGAUGUAUGAUGGUGAUAUUUGCACAACAAUAUAAAUGUAUCUAAUGCCACUGAACCGUACACUUAAAAAUGGUUAUGAUAAUUUUUACAUUAUGAAUAUUUCCCACAAAUAAAAAUAACUUUUAAAAAACUCUAUUGUUCUAAAACAGUGUUCUUUUUCUAGACAAAGUACUUAUUAGUUCAAAACAAUCUAUGUAUCCGUUCUCUGUUAUCAUAUAAUCUUUUAUUUUCAGUGGAAGAAAAUGUUGGAAAUAUUUAUUCCUCCUAGUUUCCUCCUCUCCCCAAAUAAUAAAUGAUAGGAGGGUGGUGUAAUCUCAUCUUUUCUACUUUGGUGAUCUGAUUUUGGUUUAAGCACUACUAGUAGGUGUACUUUUUGUCUGUUUUUAGAUUCCAUUUGAAAGAAACCAUUUCUCUGCUUCACUAGAACACUCCGGCUACAUUCUUUUGGCCUAUUCUUUGUUGGGUGAGACUCUCUGAAAUUAAUGCCUACUCUUUAUUGAUUGCCUACCUUUGGCAGACAUUUUGCAAACAUUAUUUUUAACUUCUUGAAUAACCUUCAAAUUAGCUAUUAUUACCCCCAUUUUCAGGUAAUGAAAUCUAGAUUGUAAGUAGUAAGUACAGGAUUUGAAUGUGGUUCUAGCUCUAAAACUGUGAAAAGCUGACUGCAUAAAAUCUUUACCUAAAAGUUAAAACAAAAGCCAAAGUCAGAUAGAUACUCAAUCACCCCAUCCAUUCUCUUUUAAGCUACAGGAAAGUGAUCUCUAUUUAAUACAUAUGAAUUUCUGUUUGCAAAAUGGGCAUCAAAUCUUAAUAGUUUUAUAAGUGAGUAAUUUAUAAAUACCUGAAGAAAUGGUUUGUACCAGAUGAUCUUUAAGGAUUUAUGAUGUAUGUAUCAUAAAUAGGUUGUAUAGAUUGUAUGGAUUGACAGAUUUUCACAAACUGAACACACCGGUUUAACCAGGACCUAGAUCAAGAAACAAAGCAUGACCAAUAGCUUCCAGGCUCCUUUAUGCUCGUAGCUGCAAUAUCUCCACUUUCAAUAGCAAUUGAUUAUUUUCACUUAAAUGUUACUUAUUUACAAUUAUGGACAUUUAGUUUCCAGUUUUGCUAUUAUGAAUAAUGUUGUUAUAGACAUUCUUGUUCAUGUCUUUUGGUGACACACACACAUUUCUGCUGAGUACAAAGCUAUGAGUAGAAAUAAUUGCUGGAUCACACUAUAUGCAUAUGUUCAGCUGGUAUGGUUUGGCUCUGUGUCCCCACCCAAAUCUCAUCUUAAAUUGUAGCUUCCAUAAUUCCCAUGUGUUAUGGGAGGGACCCAGUGGGAGAUCAUUUAAAUCAUGGAGGUGGUUUCCACCAUAUUAUUCUCUUGGUAAUGAAUGAAUCUCAUGAGAUCUGAUGGGUUUAUCAGGGGUUUCCGCUUUUGCAUCUUCCUCAUUUUUCUCUUGCUGCCAGCAUGUCAAAGUGCCUUUUGCUUCCCACCAUGAUUCUGAGGCCUCCCCAGCCAUGUGGAACUAUAAGCCCACUUAAACCUCUUUUUCUUCUCAGUCUUGGGUAUGUCUUUAUCAGCAGCAUGAACACAAACUAAUACAGUAAAUUGGUACCAAUAGAGUGGGGCAUUGCUGAAAAGAUACCUGAAAAUGUGGGAGUGACUUUGGAACUUGGUAAUGGGCAGAGGUUGGAACAGUUUGGAGGACUCAGAAGAAGACAGGAAAAUGUGGGAAAGUUUGAAACCUCCUAGAGAUUUGUUGAAUGGCUUUGACAAAAAUGCUGAUAAUGAUAGAGGCAAUGAAAUUCAGGCUGAAGUGCUCUCAGAUGGAGAUGAGGAACUUCUUGGGAACUGGAGCAAAGGUGACUAUUGUUAUGUUCUAUCAGAGACUAGCAACAUUUUGCGCCUUCCCUGGAGAUUUGUGGAACUUUUGAACUUAAAAGAGAUGAUUUAAGAUAUCUGGCAGAAUAAAUUUCUAAGCAGCAAAGCAUUCAAGAUCUGUCUUGAGUGCUGCUAAAGGCAUUCAGUUUUAAAAGGGAAACAGCAUAAAAGUUUGGGAAUUUGCAGCCUGACGAUGUGAUGGAAAAGAAAAUCCCAUUUUCUGAGGAGUAAUUUAAGCCUGCUGCAGAAUUUACAUAAGAACAAGAAGCCCAACAUUAAUCCCCAAGGCCAUGGGGAAAAUGUCUUCAGAGCAUGUCAGAAGUCAUCAUGGCAGCCCCUCCCAUCACAGGCCUGGAACCCUAGGAGGAAAAAGUGGUUUCAUGGGCCAGGCCCCAUGUCCCUGAGCUGUGUGUAGCCUGGGAAGUUGGUGCCCUGUGUCCUCGCUACUCCAGCCAUGGCUAAAAGGGUUCAUCGUAGAGCUUGGGCCAUGGCUUCAGAGGGUGGAAACCCCAAGCCUUGGCAGCUUCAACAUGGUGUUGAGCCUGUGGGUGCACGGAAGUCAAGAACUGAGGUUUUGGAACUUCCACCCAGAUUUCAGAAGAUGUAUAGAAAUGCCUGGAUAGGCCGGGCGCGGUGGCUCAAGCCUGUAAUCCCAGCACUUUGGGAGGCCGAGGCGAGUGGAUCACGAGGUCAAGAUAUCGAGACCAUUCUGGUCAACAUGGUGAAACCCCGUCUCUACUAAAGAUACAAAAAAUUAGCUGGGCAUGGUGGCAUGUGCCUGUAAUCCCAGCUACUCAAGAGGCUGAGGCAGGAGAAUUGCCUGAACCCAGGAGGCAGAGGUUGCGGUGAGCUGAGAUCGCACCUUUGCACUUCAGCCUGGGUAACAAGAGCAAAACUCCGUCUCAAAAAAAAAAAAAAAGAAAUGCCUGGAUACCCAGGCAGAAGUCUGCUGCAGGGCAGGGCUCUCAUGGAGAACUUCUGCUAGAGCAAUGCAAAAGGAGAAGAGAAAUGUGGGGUCAGAGCCCCCACAUAGAGUCCCUACUGGGACACUGCCUAGUGGAGCUGUGAGAAGAGGGCCAUCAUCCUCCAGACCCCAGAAUGGUAGAUCCGUUGACAGCUUGCCCUGUGUGCCUGGAGAAUCCACAGACACUCAAUGCCAGCCUGUGAAAGCAGCCAAGAGGGAGGCUGUGCCCUGCAGUGCCACUGGGUCUGUGCUGCCCAAGACCAUGGAUACCUACCUCUUGCAUUAGCAUGACCUGGAUAUGAGACAUAGAGUCAAAGGAGAUUCAUUUUGGAACUUUAAAAUUUGCCCUGCAGGAUUUUGGACUUGCAUGGGCCCUUAACCCCUUUCUUUUGGCCAAUUUCUCCCAUUUGGAAUGGCUGUAUUUACCCAAUACCUGUACCUCCAUUUUAUCUAGGAAGUAACUAGCUUGCUUUUGAUUUUACAGUCUCAUAGGCAGAAGGAACUUGCCUUAUCUCAGAUGAGACUUUGGACUGUGGACUUUUGAGUUAAUGCUAAAAUGAGUUAAGACUUUGGGGGACUGUUGGGAAGUCAUGAUUGGUUUUGAGAUGUGAGGACAUGAAAUUUAGGGGGGCCAAAGUUGGAAUGAUAUGGUUUGGUUCUGUGUCUGUACCCAAAUCUCAUCUUGAAUUGUACUCCCAUAAUUCCCACAUAUGUGAUGGACCCAGUGGAAGAUAAUUAGAAUCAUGGGGGUAGUUUCCCCCAUAUUGUUCUCAUGUUAGUAAGACUCACAACAUCUGAUGGUUUUAUCAGGGGGUUCUGCUUUUGCAUCUUCCUCAUUUUUGUCUUGCUGCUGCCAUGUAAGAAGUGCCUUUUGCCUCCUGCCAUGAUGCUGAGGUCUCUCCAGCCACAUGGAACUGUAAGUCCAAUUAAACAUCUUUUUCUUCCGGGUUAUCAGCAGCAUGAAAAUGAACUAAUACAUCAGCUUUUGUAAAUAUGGCAAGUUUUCCAAAGUAUACAUUAAAAUCUUUUAUAAAGCAUCAAGUAAAAUACUGACAGCCAAUAGAAGAAUAGGUAAAAGACUUGACAAAAAGGAAGCCAAGUAAUAAGAAUAGCACAACUUUUGAAAAUGUUAAGUCUUUUUAAUGGAGUUUCGCUCUUGUUACCUAGGCUGGAGUGCAAUGGCGCAAUCUCGGCUCACUGCAACCUCCGCCUCCUGAGUUCAGGCAAUUCUCCUGCCUCAGCCUCCUGAGUAGCUGGGAUUACAGGCACGAGCCACCACGCCCAGCUAAUUUUUUGUAUUUUUAGUAGAGACGGGGUUUCACCAUGUUGACCUGGAUGGUCUCGAUCUCUUGACCUCGUGAUCCACCCACCCUGGCCUCCCAAAGUGCUGGGAUUACAGGCAUGAGCCACCAUGCCCAGCAUCUAUAUUUAAAAUGUUUGUUUCAAGGUAGCUAAUUCUUUAUUAUAUAUUCUAUCAAAAAAUUGUUUAAAAUUUAUGAAAUAAAUGGAUACAUCAAUGGUUAUGUUUUAUCUGUAGUAUAAUGGUUCAGAAAUUGAAAAUACUUAUAUUAUUUUUCAUUAAAGUCCGUAUUUUUAUAAAGCUUAUCCAUUUCACUUAAAUUUAGAAAACAAUAUUUUAAAAUCUCCAAAGUGAUGGUAUCUGGUUAAAUUGUCUUCAAUUUAUUCAACUAAUAAUUAAUAAUCAAGUUCAAAGCAAACCAAUAAAAAGGAUAUUCAGAUAGAUUUAACAAUUAUCUUAGUCCACUACUUAGUAAAACCAAAUUUUCAUAAAUAUUAUUAAAAUUUUUUACAAAUUACAGAUAAAUGGAAUACACCAAACAAAGCUCCUCCUUCCUUGUAGUUUUUAUUUUAGUGUUUGGAGGGAAUAUUUAGUGUUUCGUUCAAAAUUAUUGCAAUACAAGACUGCGAUACAAGUUAUGCUGUUAUCUUGAAUGUAAAGAAGCAAUGAUGAAUGCACUGAAAAAUAAGCAGUGAAAAAAAUACAAGGCAUUUGCAGGACUAAAGCUCCUCCAUGAGCUCUUGACCUCACAUAUGUACAAAUUAAUUUACCAAAAUAAAAGAGCUAUAAUGUUAAUGUGGCCUGGACAAUUUUUAAGAAAUAUGCCAAUUUUAUUCUCUUUUCUGAAAGUGCAAAGGAUAGAGAAAAAAAAGUAAGAAGAAAAAUUCUGUGACCAAAGAGAAUAUAAAUGGAAACUACAAUCUAAAUCUCAAGUAUUUUAACAGCAAAAAGCAUAUGUUAGAGAGAGAGAGAGAGAGACCUUAUAUUAGUAAGGUCAGCCUUACAUUAGUAUAUUCUUGCUGAAUCUUUGACUGACCUACCAGAUGUUCAUCACAGGCACACUUCACUUCUAUUAUGCCAUCUGGUUUUGUUCGUUUUCUAUUUGAAUUUCUACUGAAUCCAUUCUCUCGUAAUAAACGUGGAAAUUUUGGUUGUUUUAAUUUUAUUAUUGUACACUCCAUUAUCUUUGAAUUCCUUUAACUGGAACAUUAUUAAACUUGUCUCUUAUAAAUGCCUACUCUUAUUUGUCAUUGUACUCCUAAAGAACCCUAACCCUUUGGUAUUUGAGGUAUUCUUGGAAGUCCUUUUAGGAACAUGGAUUUUGCUGAUGGAUUUGACUGGGACUUUGAAAUAUAAUGGUUUUAUGUUAAUCUUGCCUAUUAAUGUUUUAUGUCUUAAGGCUGGAGACUUGGUUCCUAUUCCUGAAUUUUUUAGCUCUGUUUCCUAUAAAGGCUCAUAGCUAGCUUGACUUGGGAUCUGUAAUAAGUAAGAGAUUUGGUCACUUAACCUUUUCUCUCUCUUGUCAUUGGGUGGAUUCUAUGAACUGAUCUUUCUUAGGCUUCCAUUAAACACACUCUUGAUUCUAGAACUAAAGACAAAUAGAUAAUCUCAUAAAUAUUUAUAAAUAUUGGUAGUAUUUUCAUAUGAAAAGAUUUAAAGAGAAUUCUUGGAAACCAGCACAGUAGAAGUAAGAGCAAUGAAACAAAGCUACAGGAAGAAAUGUUCAGCUUUGUAUAAAGCAAGUGUUAGCAUUCACAGUUUUAUAAACUUGCCUCUGGGAGGCAGUAGGGUGUAGAGGUUGAGUAUGGCUUCCCAUUGACUUCAAAUCCAGUACACCAGUCGGUAUUUGUGUGAUCUGUGCCUUGGUUUAUUCUGUGAAAUAGGUAUAAUAGUAAAUCCUCCCCCAUUGGGUUUUUGUGAGGAUUAAAUGAGAUACUUCCUGCCGGGCACUUACAAUUGUGUCUGGUACAGAAUAAACGUUCAAUAAAAGUUAGCUUUAUUAUUAUGGAAUAGGCUGUCUGCCUUUGUAUGUUCUCCAUCAUUAGAGGAAUUUAAGCAGAGGUGAAAUAAUAAAUUGGUAGAGAUUUUAUAGUUAAGAUUCAAGCAUUGGAUAGCUCCUUCAACCCCUCAGAUUUGUGUUUCUAUUUUUUUAAUUUCCCGUGAAUAUCAAGGUAACUUUCAUAUUGACAAUGGUGGUAUUAACCUAUAUAACAUGCUUUUUUCCUGGUCGUUCAAUUUCAAUGAUACAGUCUCCUGUAGGCAAUCUGGGACCUCAGAGUACGGCAAAGAAAACCACUGCUUAAGUCCAGUCUACAUGCUGACCUCAUGAAGCAAACCAACUGUAGAUGCCAGAGACCUAAACAGAUAGACUGUGAAUUCAGUUUGAGGAAGACACUGCAGAACAGAUGGAGUUUCGCUGUUGUUACCCAGACUGGAGUGCAAUGGCACGAUCUCAGCUCACCGCAACCUCUGCCUCCUGAGUUCAAGCAAUUCUCCUGCCUCAGCCUCCCGAGUAGCUGGGAUUACAGGCGCGAACCACCAUGCCCAGCUAAUUUUUGUAUUUUUAGUAGAGACGGGGUUUCACCUUGUUGACCAGGAUGGUCUCGAUCUCUUAACCUCGUGAUCUACCCGCCUUGGCCUCCCAAAGUGCUGGGAUUAUAGGCGUGAGCCACCUUGCCCGGCCCUGAGUUCUAUUUUUGUUCUUUUUUUAAUUACCUUAAAAUUUUUACUGUAAAAAUAUAAAGGCAUACAGAAAAAAUGUAAUGAAUCCCCAUGUAUCCAUCACCCCGCUUCAACAUUUAUGUACUCAUAGCAAUUCUUGUUUCAUCUUCAAGCCCAUCUAUCCUCCAAACAUAUUUUGUAGCAGAUACCAAACACCAUAAAUGUAUAUUCAUAAUAAUUUUCUUAAAAAACAUUUCUUCUCUGAUGAUUCCAUUAUCUCUGUCAUUCGGGAUCUGUUUCUGUUUGAUAGUUUCUUUCCCCUUUUCCUGGUUAGGGUCUACACUUCCCUGCUUCUCUUGCAAAUUUUUGAUUGGAUUCCAAACAUUGUAGUUGCUGCUGUAUUUUGCUGAAUUUCCUUAGAUAUUUUUAAAUUUUGUUCUAGGAUGCUGCUAAAUUACUUAGAAGCUGUUUCACCCUUUAAGUCUUCUUUCCAAGCUUUGUUAGGGCAGGUCCAGAACAGCUGUUCCUCAGGGGAUUUAUGCGAUUCCGCCUCACAGGUAAUAACCUUCCAAGGAGUCUACUCAAUACCCUACUUAGUCAGGGGUCUUUCCCCUCAGAUUGAUUAGAACAUGUAAUAUUCCCUAUCCCUUGGAUCUUUAGGGAAGAGUCCACCUAUUCCCUUCCGUUGAUCCUUUCUCAAGUUUUAUGUUGUUUCCUCCACAAUCUCCACAUGCAGAUAAAUUCUCUGUCAUAUUCUGAAGCAGACUCCUGGACCUGUACAGAUCUCUGGAGCCCAUUUUUUGUGUGUGCAGUUCUCGUCUUCCUGAAAUUACACCUGGAAAUCUAGCCGGUUUGCCUUUCUUAACUCUGAGUUCUGUCUUUUCAACUCAGCACUACUGUCAGGGUCUGUUUGGGGGCCUCUUCUCACUACUAUAGCCUGGAAGCUCUCUUUUUUAACAAUAAACUGGGGUAAUUUAUAAGGGGCUUGUUUCUUUUGUUUCUCUCUUUUUUUAAAAAAGAUUAUUGUUCUAUACGGCUUGUCAUCUAAUGUUUCAUGUAAUAUUAUCUAGUUUUCCAGUUGUUUAACUUUGAAGUCAAAAUUAAAAUGCCAUUAAUUUUUAACACCGAAAGUUGAAGACCUUCUAUGGUUUUCUCUGGCUUCUGUCUAUACAGCUUCAUAUGCCAUUAUCUCUAGCAUUUCUUUUUCUCUUAAUAACCAGGAUUAAUCAUCCAAGCCAGUAAUAAAGAUCGGCUCACUUUUGUUCUAUUUGCUUAAAGGCAUGAAGAAUCUGAAAUAUCUAAGUGGCAAUCUUGGAUUCCAGUGUAAUAGUACCAUUUUUGUGUACCUAGAGGAAGCAUUUCUUCCCUCAGUGUUGAACUUUCAAAAAGGAUAGAUCCUAGAUUAACUGUAACAGAAAAUAUGUCACCUACAGACCUCUAGUUCUUCACAUGGAGGCUCCAACUAGGUUCCCAGCUUAGACCACCACUGCAGAUGCUAGGACAGGACCCAGAGAAGUCACAGGAGGAAAGGUGAUUACUCAAGGAAAGAAAAGCAUAGGUAUUUGCCUAAGGCUAUCUCUCCUUCAAGGCGAAGGGGACAAGAUAAACCAUUAAAAGGUUUUGUCUUCGUAUUCUCCUACACAUACUUUUUAAAGGGUCAACCCUGGAUUGGGCUGUAAAGUGUCAGCUGUGAAUUUCUGUCUGGUGCCAGUAAAUUAUGUAGUAAUACCUGUAAAUAAGGCUUGAACUUUUCCCCUUCUGGUCAAUUAAUAAUAAGAAACUCCCCAUGAGUCAUAAAGAGAGACUGAAGGAGGGUGGCAGAGCAAAAUACAUAUGCAAGUUGGGAAUGAAAAUGAGUUGUUAAUGCAGUUUACUUGUGUUUUCAGUCUUCUUUAUCUGGACCCAUAUAUCUCACUUCCAAUAAUGUAAUGCCAUUGAGUGUGUCUAAGUCUAGGAAGUCAAAUAACCCCAUUUUUUUAAAGCAAUGGUGUCAUGUUGCCACCUGAUGUUCCAAAGUCAGACUUUCUUUUUUGUUGUUAUUUUUAUUUCUGAACCCAACAUUAUGAACAUACCAAAGUCAGAUUUCAUUCUCUGCCAGAGACCAAUCAAGAGCUGUUUCUGAAAAGAGGACUGUUACCGCUAAAAUACAUGGCGUUGCUUUAAAACCUUGGGAGCCAACACUAGAUUUUUCCCCUCCAGAUGUACCAAAAGUGCCACAACUGAUCACAGACAUUCGAGUAUUAUUAAAGCUUCAUUGUAGUUGCAUUACAUUUUUGUUCAGUUUACACUUGUGCUGGGAUCCAUUUGAGGUAUUCAGUCUUGGACAGGCACGGUGGCUCAUACCUGUAAUCCCAGCAAUUUGGUAGGCCAAAGAAGGCAGAUCACUUGAGGCCAGGAGUUUGAGACCAGCCUGACCAACAUGGCAAAACCCUGUCUCUACUAAAAAUAUAAAAAUUAGCUGGUGUGAUGGCAUGCAUCUGUAAUUCCAGCUACUCCAAAGGCUGAGACAGGAGAAUCGCUUGAACCUAGGAGGUGGAGGUUGCAAUGAGCCAAGAUCCUGCCAUUGCACACUAACCUGGGCAGCAGAGCCAGACUCUGUUUGAAAGAAAAGUAUUCAUUCUUUUGGAAAAUCUGACAAAUGGAUAUAAACAGUAUGUUUAAAUAUGAUAUUGGUUACUUCCAAAAUCAAAAGAUGUUUACCAAGCCAUGUGCCUUUUUUUUUUAUAGUAGGCAGUAAGAAGGUAUAAGAACUUCCCCUUUCCUUUGGAGAAGGUAUCUUGGCAUGCUCAAUUUCACUGGCUCUUCAGAAAUUUUAUGGAAGUGGCAGAUCCCUGUAUUUUAGUGGAAUUGGUGUCCUACGCUCUGGCACACAAGAAUUUUAUGAAGGCAUCAUGCGUAUCUGCGAUUACAUUGGCAUCAAUAUAAGGGACCAGCAUGAGCUCCUGUGAAAUGAUAAUACAAUAAAUGUUUCCAUGAACUCAAUUGUGGCAUAGAACCAGUGAGCUGUCACCACUCUGGAACAAGAUAGAAAAGGUAUCCUGCUUUCCUUCGAGGCAAAAGAAACUUACGUGUUUUUGAUUAGCAUAGAAUAAAAGUACUUACUGCAUCAAUAGCUGCAUGUCAUAUGCCAGUGGUACCAGUUUGCCCCAGCAAAAAGGUACAUCUGCAGUAGUUUCUAUAACUGGAGACACAAAUUAAUGAAAACAAUUAUUUAUAAAUCAUAGAAAACAUUUAAUGUGAUAGUAUUUUUUAGACAAUUGAAUACUUAAAUGUUUAUUUCUUGACUGCUUUUUUUCUGAUACAUAUAUUCAAUAAUUUGCAAAUUUUAAGAGUAAAUCACAUGUGAUACAAAUUAAUAUUUGACUUUAAUAUGCAGAAAAUAUAGUCUAGGAUUGUUUCAUCUGAUUCAUAUUUCUGUGUGAUUCUGGAAGGCCAUUAUGAAUGGUGGCUUUUUAAUAUCUUCUUUGAAAUAGUAAAUGUGUGUUUAAAAAUGUAUCCCUUAUAAUAUCAGUGUUUUUUACUCAUAUAUUUGCUUUCUGAUUUGUUAUUUAACAUUAAUCAAAGAUUUAAAGUUCUAUCAAGCAGAUAAUGAACUUUAUUCAUUUUAAGAAACACUGUGGUUUUAGGGAGGAGGCCAUUUAUUUAUUUGUUCAAUAAUAAACAAGUCUGGCUAUUUAUCUAGACUUUAACAUAAUGUGAUGACUUACAACGGAAUGUGUUUCUCCACUCUGAAAGAUGAAUAUAAUCAUUUACUUGUGCUGUUUCUUGUGAAAAUACAUUUUAAUCUGGUAAUAUUUUAUGAUCUAACACGGUGACUGCUUUUACUAUAUUAGAAGAUUCCUAACUAGAUACAAUUGAAUUAUUAAACAGUAAAUAAUUCUCAUUUUCUUGUGUGUCUGAUUCUCUUGUUUUCAAUUACAACUCCUGGUCAUAAAAAUGUAAAUUUAAUAUGUAAAUUAAAUUCACUUCAGUAAAUAUAUUCAUAGCAGCUUUAGGUAAAAAUAAAACUACCUUUCAGCUAAUCCCAAAAUGUAAAUCAUGCCACUUUAUAAAAUGAAUAUGCAUAAUUUUUUUCAGGAAAAAACCCAAAACACAAAAACUGUAACUGUAAUUUCUUUCAAGAUUGUUACAUUUAUGAACGAAAAGGGCAUGGACUGAAAAUUUAGAUGAAUCAAGCACAAUACAUAGAAAUUUAUGGUUUCAAUGAUUUUUUAAAAUGUGUUUGUUUUUGAGACAGAGUCUCACUCUGUCGCUUAGGCUGGAGUGCAGUGGUGCUAUCUCAGCUCACGGCAGCCUUUGCCCUGCUGGGUCCAAGUGAUUUUGGUGCAUCAGCCUCUCAGAUAGCUGGGAUUACUCGUGUGCCACCGUGCCUAGCUAAUUUUUUUUUUUUUUUUUUUUUUGCAUUUUUAGUAGAGAUGGGGUUUUGCCAUGUUAGCCAGGUUGGUCUUGAACUCCCAGCCUCAAGUUAUCUGCCUGCCUUGGCCUCCCAAAGUGCUGGGACUACAGGUAUGAGCCACCAUGACUGGCCUUCAGUGACUCUUUGGACACAUAAGAUAUUGAGCUAUUGCAAGGAUGUAGCAAUGGCUAAAUAAGCAUUAUUAUAUACCUAGUGUGCAAAAGUUCUAUAAAAUGCUAAGUAUGAAAGCUCAGGCUGCUGACAAUAAUAUCAAGUCAUUGGCUAUUCUAAUUUAACAAACAUUUAUUGAAUGCCUACUAAGUACCAAAUUUGUGUUAGACACUAAGGAUUAAAGGUAAAAAAGUCAUAAACUCUAUUCUUGAAGAGCUUAUUUUCAUACCUAGGGAGAAAGGCAUAUAACCAAUACUUAGAAUUCAAUGUGCAGUAGUAGAGAUUUUAAAAUGUUGAGGAUAGACUCACAGAUUUGCAUGGAGAAGUGGUAAAGGCUCCAUAAAUGAUGUGAAUUUUGAGCAUUGGGAGAUAUAAAAUAUGGUAAAUGUACCAUAUUUUGCUAUUCAGAAAGUUGUUUAUAUAAGGUAUUAAGGACAUAGCAUAGUUAACUCUAUCUAUUGUCUGUUGCUGCCUAACAAAUCACCCCAAAGCCAGUGGCUUAAGACAAAAAUACUUUAUUAUUGUAGAUAAUGCAUCCAUAAAGACUGUUUGAAUUCCCACAGAAAGUUAAUCAGUUCUCUGUUCUUACCUUGCAGCCUUGUGCUAUAGUUAUAAACUAUAUAUAUAACUAUAUAUAGUAUAUAUUAAGUAUAGUUAGUGGUUUCCUUCUGUAGAUAGCAGCUGAGUAAACUAUUGUUCACAAGACAAGCUGGACUGCCACCUAGUUUUGAAAAUAAAGUUUUAUUGGGCUAUAACCAUGAUCAUUUAUUUACUUAUUAUACAUGGCCGCUUUUGUGCCACAACAUUAGAGCUGAGUAGUUACAAUAGAGAUUGAUGGUUUGCAAAGCUGAAAACCACAGCCACCACCCCCUAACUCUGGACUACAGUUGUCCAACAGAACUUUCUGUGAUGUUAAUGUGGCUAUAAAGCACUUGAAAUGUGGUUACUGUGACUGAGAAACUGAAUUUUAAAGUUUACUUAAUUUUAGUUCAUUUAAGUUUAGACUGCUACAUGAGCCAUUGCAAAUGGCUACAUAUUGGACAGCCUAGUUCUAGACAGUAAGUUCCCUAAAGCCAGUAACCAACUUUUGGUUAUCUUUUUUACCCCAUGAUAUUCCAUCACGCCCCGUAUACAGCUUUAUACUUAGCAGACUCAGUUGUUCUCUCAUCAAAUAUUUAUUGAAUUAAAUUUAUCAUGGUCGUUUUUACUUAUUUUGGUCAAACUUUGUGAAAUACUUAAAGCUCAAGUAUUUUUCUUGCGAUGAUUAGUCUUUCAGUUCAAAUGCCCAAUGACUUCCUGAAAAUGUCUCCAAAUGUUCUAGCCUACAGGAAUUUUUCUCUCUGAAGGAGCAGCCAUCUUCAAGGGUGUAAUUCAUAGCAUAAAGAAUUUAACUUAGGAUAAUGGCCUCCAGCUGCAUCCAUGUUGCUGCAAAGGACGUGAUUUUUUUCUUUUUCUUGGUUGUGUGGUAGUCCAUGAUGUAUAUGGAAUUAUACACUAUUACCUUGUGUUAGACACUAAGCAUUAAAUUAAAUAGACACAAUUAUACACUAUUACCUACCACAUUUUCUUUAUGCAGUCAAUUAUCCUAAGCAAAUUAACUCAGGGACAGAAAACCAAUCCCACAUGUUCUUGCUUAUAAAUGGUCACUAAACAUUGGGUAUUCAUGGACAUAAAGAUGGGACCAGUAGACACUAGAGGUAGGAGGGAAGAAAGGGGGCAAGGGUUAGAAAACUGUUGGGUACUAUGCUCUCUUAUGUGGGUGACUGGAUCAUUCAUACACCAAACCUAAGCAUCACACAUGUAACCAACCUCCCUGUAACAAACCUGCUAUUGCACCCCCUAAAUCUACUAUAAAAGUUGAUAUUUUUUAAAAAAGAAUUCAACUAAGUGCCCAGCUUUGGCCACUAUCUCAGAUGCUGGGGCAAGGCCCUGCCACUGCAGAGCAGGCCUGGGAGGGAAAGUGAUUCCUCAGGGAAAGAAAAGCUCACCUGGCAUCACAAGGCCUAUAGCUCUUGAUGACUCGUCCUGACUUCCCACACAGUCACUUCGCCCAGUGGUGAAGUCAGCCUCCGGAGGGCUGAAGCAACACUUCAAGAACUACAGUUCCCUUUUCUCAAAGACUUAGUUGGGGGGCUGGCUUAUCCAUGCUAUUUCUCUGUUACCUCAAGGUAGAUUUAUGUCUAUGAUUUUACCACCCUGCUCUACCACUGUGUCUUGAAGGAGCCUGUCUGUUUUUUCCACAAGUCUUGUAGACUUUGAAUAUCAGAGAAUAAAAAUUGGCAUACAGAUCACUCCUUCUCAGUGGCAUCUAAUGCAAGUUGGUUCUUUAUGUGCCAGGAGGAAGGGCAACCUUGUUAAAUAAAAGGUGCUGUUAUACUUUCCAAAAGCAGGUGCCUUCUUGUCUUACAUUUGCAUAACUUUAAAUAGUACCACUUAAGGCUAGCAGAAAAGGGAAGUCAGCUUGGAGGCAACAAUCUCUUCUUGUUAUUCUAUAAGACAGAUGCUUUAAUGAGCAAAAUUUAUGUGCUUCCACUUAUAGACUGAUGGAAGGGAGGAAAGAAGAAUGAAGGAAAGAAGAAAGGAAAAAAGAAAAACUUUAAAAUGCUUUGAUAGAUAUGUUUAUAUAGUUUUUUUAUUUUGUAGUAUAUCCAAUCUGUUUCCUCAAUCCUUUAUUGGUGACCUUUUAACUUUUCCACCACUUUCAUUAUUAUAAAUAACUGCAAUUUCACAUAUAUCCUUGCGUAGCUGAUAGGGUUUUUCUACAGGAUACAUUGAGAGAAUGUACGAUUUAUAAUUUGACAGAUUGACAAAUUGCCUUCCAAAAAUGUUUGCUACAUAAAAAUCUGUAUUUCUGUUUUCUCUUGGAAAAUUGAAAGUUUGGCCAUUCUGGGCCUAAACUGCUACUAGGUAACAAUGUGCAACAGUUGAACAAGAGUUUCAGGCUUUCGACUGGUCCAGUUCACUAUUGAGCCCACCAUCCAUACUGCCUGUUUCUUUCAUUUAAGAUACCUGCCAGGUUCAUGAGCCCUUGAGUUUGCAACUCCUGCCUCAGCACAUAGCACACAACCAGUGAGUUCCCAGGAAGUGGUUGUUUCUGGAAUAACCAGAAAAAAAAAAAUGGUUGCUCAACUCCUUUGUAGUUUUAAAAGCUAGGGAAAAAAUGGGUAAAAUCUAAAGAGGAUUUUGAAAGCCAGACUGUUUAUUAGUAGUAGGAUGGGAGCUAUGAUUCAGGCAUCAUGAGAUAAUUUACUCUGCCACCAACUUGCUACUGUAUAAAUGUUCACGUGAGGUUUCCUCUCUGAUAUGUUCUGAGGAAUCAAGAGAGCAGAGUAUAAUAGACUCAUUUGCAUAAGAAGUAGUUCAAAGUCAAAGCUGUUAUUUUUCAAAUAUUAUUUUAUUUAUUUCUUUUUUAACUUUAAGUUCAGAGGUGCAAGUGCAGGUUUGUUACAUAGGUAAACUUGUAACAUGGGGGUCUGUCUUACAGAUUAUUUCAACACUCAGGUAUUAAGCCUAGUACCCAUCAGUCAUUUCUCCUGAUCCUCUCCUUCCUCCCACCCUCCAGCCUCUGAAAGGGCCCAGUGUGUGUUGUUCCCCUCUAAGUGUUCAUGUGUUCUCAUUGUUUAGCUCCACUUAUAAGUGAGAACAUGUAGUAUUUGGUUUUCUGUUUCAGUGUUAGUUUGUUAAGGAUAAUAGCCUCCAGGCUCCAUCCAUGUCCCUGCAAAGGACAUGAUCCUAUUCUUUUUUAUGGCUGCAUAAAAUUCCAUGGUAUACAUGUACCUCAUUUUCUUUAUCCAGUUCUACCAUUGAUGGGCAUUUAGGUUGAUUUCGUGUCUUUAUAUCAUGAAUAGUGUUGAAAUGAACAUACACAUGAGUGUGUCUUUAUAAUAGAAUGAUUUAUAUUCCUUUGGGUAUAUACCCAGGAAUGGGAUGGCAGGGUCAGAUGGUAUUUCUGUAUUCAGGACUUUGAGGAAUUGCCACACUGCUUUCCACAAUGGUUGAACUAAUUUACACUUUCACCAACAGUAUAUAAGUGUUCCUUGUUCUCUACAACCUCACCAACAUCUGUUUUUUACUUUUUAGUAAUAGCCAUUCUGACUGUUGUGAGAUGGUCUCUCAUUGUGGUUUUUAUUUGCACUUCUCUAAUAAUCAGUGAUGUUGCAGAGCCCUUUUUUUAAAAAUAGAAAAUUAAUUCAAUUUAUUUGAAAAUAUAGUUAUUUCAGGCCAGGCAUGGUGGCUAACGCCUAUAAUCCCAGCAUUUUGGGAGGCCGAGGCGGGUGGAUCACGAGGUCAAGAGAUAGAGACCAUCUUGGUCAACAAGGUGAAACACCGUCUCUACUAAAAAUACAAAAAUUAGCUGGGCAUGGUGGUGCGUGCCUGUAAUCCCAGCUACUCAGGAGGCUGAGGCAGGAGAAUUGCCUGAACCCAGGAGGCGGAGGUUGCGGUGAGCCGAGAUCGCGGCAUUGCACUCCAGCCUGGGUAACAAGAGCAAAACUCCGUCUCAAAACAAAAAACAAAAAAAAGGAAAAUAUAGUUAUUUUAAUGAUGAUGUAAAUAGAUAUAUGUCAAACAAAUAAAUGAGAUAGGAAGUAGGAAGUUCUUUUUCUCUCUAACCUACCUGCAAGUGGCCUGGGUAUGAAAUUAUUUGUUACUUGUUAAAAGACUGAACUACAUCUUUACCUAAAGUGCAAUGCUAGGCCAUCUGGGAAAAGCCUUUUUAGCCCAUACAUAGUUAGCUGUAAUACAACUUCCAAUUCUUGAGAGCCUGUCCAGUCUUCAGUCGUUCUCAACGUGUAUAUGAAUGAGAGUGGAGGUAAGGAGAGGUUUGGAGUGUCUGAAAAGUGGGUUCUUUCUAAUAGACAAUGCUAAUGGUAACAUUUAUAGAGGGCUGAGAAGAAUGAGAAUAUUAGGGGUAGGCCUAUAAAGGGGAUGCAGGACAGGGUGUGGGGUCAAGUCUCUAGUGGUGUAGGCGGGAGAGCUGCAAGGUUUUCUGUGUGUAGCAGCCAGGCAUUACUGAGCUCUACCUUCAAGAAUAAAUUUAGCUAAAAGGAGUAUGGCUAGCUCCUAACCUCCAGUUGCAGUGCCUUCAGGACACAUCUUAGCUUUGGGGCUGAGGAAAUGCUCUUCCUGGUCAGCUUCCAACCAGUAACUGAACACUAAAGAGGUAAGGAGAGCUUGCCAUUUCUGUCCAGCAUGGAACUCUUCUAACAGACAAUAUUUUCUCCAAGCUAUCCAUUGGGUUGCUUGAGACUUUAGCAGACAUGCCUUCUGGUUUGAGCCAAAUACACUUUCACUUCCUCAUGAUUUUCUUAAUAAUAUUUUUUUCUUCUAGCUUAAUUCAUUGUAAGAAUACAGUAUAUAAUACAUAUAACAAAAUAAGUGUUAAUUGCCUAUAUUAUUGGUAAGGCUUCUGUUCGACAGUAGGCUAUUAGUAGUUAAGUUUUUGGGAGUCAAAUUUAUACACCAAUUUUUGACUAUGCAAGGGUUGGUACUGUAGUUGUUCAGGGGUAAACUAUAUGUAUAUUUAGAGAUUCACUAAGUGCAUCUGAUGCAAAUGGUACAAAGUAUAGGAGAUUAAAUUAAUUAUGUACAAAUGCUAUGAGAAUUUUUUACAGCAUUAAUUACAUACCUCUAUGCUUAACAUUACUUAAUUUUUUAAUGGAAGAAAAAAUAAGUUCGUGUACUUUCAAUUUGUAUUGCCUUUUCACAGGGACCAUUCGUAUAAUAUUUUCUCAUAUCAUUUUCUUGAACAGAAUAUUUUUGAUGUGUUGACAUGCCUGAUUUCUGAAGUUGCACAAGAGAUUUAUGUGCAUCUCUUUUCACCUGACAUUGUAGUAUCUGCUAAAAAGAGAACUGUAUAGAUUUUGGAUUCAUAUUCUUCUGUCUUUCAGAAUUUAUAAACCCAACUUCUCUAUACUUAUCAUUGGAUUUGAAUCCCUAAGAUACUGUUUAAAUUCUUUCCCUCUUACGAGUUUUCUGUUUCUUCACUGAAAAUCUUAAACAUGUGAUAUCACUGGCUUGUCGAUAAGGAAAUAAAGAAUUAAUUCAAAGGAAAACCCAGAAAAUACAAAAACGAGUCUAAAAGCAAACCUCAGGAGUGUAAUUUUUUAUGUCUACAUUUAUGUUUUUCAUAUUUAUGUUCACUGCAAGUAGCCAUAUGCAUCUUUUACUAAUGUAUAUAAACAAGUAAACACAAAAUUGAUUUAUGUAUUUAUUUACUUACAUUUCAAGAUUCUCUGGAUAUAGCUUAGGUGGAGAGAGCACGGGAAACAAAGCAUGAAUCUAACCUGAGUGGUACCCCUUAAAGAGACUUAAUUCUCUUUCUUUUUGCCCUAGGCAGCAAGCAAAUUGUCAGGAAUUUAUCAAAAUUUUCACUAAAAGACUUAAGAUGAUGCUCUGUAGAAGAUAACUUGACAAAAUCUUUACUCUUUAGGUUCAAGUUAUUUCUCCAGUGUUUAUGUUUUUAUAAGAUUUUUUAAGUAAGGAUAAUUAAAGCCUUUGUUUUAAAACGCAUCUUCAAGUAAUUACAUAUUUUCUGUCAGUAGGCAUUUUUUGGUCUUUUUUAAAAAAAAUGUGCUCAUGAUUGCACUAUUCUUAUCAGCAUGCUGUUUUACUUAUUUGAUGAAUGGUGCAUGUUUAAUGUGUUUAAUACUAAAUAGUCUUUAAUGCCAUAUCAUACUUCUGUCAUCUCUUAGGUCUUCAAGUGCAGUUUUUAUAUGUACAUGUUUGUCUGUGUGUUUUAAACUACUCUGACACACUUCAGAUGAGAACAGCUAAAAACAGUGUAUUAGUUAAAGAGGAGUAUUGUCCCUGCAGAAACCUUCUAUUAAAUCAUUGAUCAUUUAUUGGUAGUGGUCUUUGAAUUAGACUAUCUAUAUAUGCACAUUAGGUUCCUAGAGGUUCUUUAACAAGGUACCACAUCCUGGGUGGCUUUAAACAGCAGAAAUUUUUCUCUUACAGUUCUAGGAUUUAGAAGUCCAAAGUCCAGGUGUCAGCAGGUGUGGUUCCUUCAGAAGUUCCUGAAAGAGAUCUGUCCAUGUCUCUCUUCUAGCUUCUGGUGGUUGUAUGAAAUUCUUGAUGAUCCUUGGCUUGCAGAUGCACCCUUCUGCUUCUUCCUUCACACAGUAUUUUCCCUUGUGUCUAUCUCUUCUAUUUCUUAUAUUUUCUCAUUUGUUUUCAAACCUGUCAUUUCUUUCACUAUACAUCUUUCUUCUCAUGAUGAAUUGAAGGGAAUUAUUAUGACUUGUAAUUGUCUCAUAUUUAAUCCUGGAACCAUUAAUAUUUGUUGCUAGUAUGUGAAAUACAACUUCUUUACUAAAACCAUUGCAAUAUGAAAUGGUUUAAAUAUUCUGAACAUUUACAUCAAAGUGUUCAUCAUCUGAUACCCAAACUCUUCCAAAUCUGUCAAUGUCUGAUCAGAAUCUCUCAAUCUAUUAAUUAAACAAUUAAGUUUUGUCAUUUUCAGUUCCCUUAUUCUAAAAUAUUUCAAAGUCACUUAAGUUUUAAGUUAAAUGCCAUGUCAUAUUAUAAGCACGGCUCUUCUGUUGACAUAGGAGCUUGGUAUGUACUCACAAAGACAUUGGAUGUGCAGUGAAGAAAACACAGGCUUUAGACAGAAGCUGGAUUCAAACCCUUGUUUUGCUACUAUUACAUUUUAAAUCUUGAACAAGCUAGUUAACUUUAUCUGUAAAAUAGUGCUAUUCAUUUAGAGGAUUAAAUGACAGUAGCUAAUACUUAUGUAGCAUUUAUUAUAUGAUAAGCAUUGUUCUAAGUACAUUACAUAUAUUAACUUUAUUAUCCCCAUAUUAAAGAAGGGAAAGUGAGACACAAGAAAGUUUGGUAGCUUUCCCAAGUCAAUUAACUAUAAUGAUACAGAUGGAAUUUGAACACAAGCAUUCUGGUUUCUCCGCACUCUGAAUAACUCCAUAUUGCCUCUCCAGUGAAUCAUUCAUCACAGAGGAGCCUGAUCCAGUAGUCUGUGUACCUUUUGGGUUUUCACUUGGAGAUGCAUUCAGGCACCUCUGUAUAUCUGCAGAUCAAUGGAAAAUUCUUUGGUUUUACUAGAAAACUAGAUUAACGAGGUUCUAAAGAUUCCAAGCUCACAAAGAAAAUUUUCACAUUAAAAAAAUGUUAAGCAUAAUGUCUUCGGAAGGAUGUGGAGGCUGUUCUCUGCCUCUGACCAGUAUUGUUUUCUUUUUAAUUAAUUUAAUGUGGAAGAUGCCUGACUUACUCUCUUUAUAAAUAGGUAUGAAGGAGAAUAUCUUAUAGUCUUUAAUAUGUUCUAAUGAAUAUGAGAGUAUGUGUAGUAUGUGUAGCAUAGGGAAUGUUUAAAUCACUUUGUAGAGUUUGAAACUAUUCAGCAACAAUUAAGUGGCCUGAUAACACUUCAGAGUAACAUACCAGAUGUUUUAAUGUUCUGUUCUCAUCCUAGAUGGCUGGACAGACUUAGCAUAUGUGACUAAUUUAUCGAAAACUUAUGAUGGGGGUCCAUUAUUGUCAACUCAAAUACCUAAAUUAUAAACACUGCAGCAAACAUGCCAGAACAUGAAAAUACCCUCUUCACAUACACAAGAGCAAGGCAUGUUGUGUUCUAGGGACCGAACACUGUUUUUGAUGAAUUAAUCUUAUAACUCCAACAUUCACCAGUGUAAAUAAUUUGAAGGUAAAUUUAACUGAAAGAGACAGUCAAGCUACUCAGCUAGAACUAAGGCUUUUUUGUUUAGGUAGAUACAAAGGGUUAAUUUCUGGUUCAUAGCACUAGAUAGUGGUGGUUCUCUAUCUGAGGAGGGGCUGGGGGAAUCUGGUAGGAGGGUAAAUCAAAAGUGUCUGGUGUAUAUGAGCAGCAGGCUGUGGGAAGCCCUCACUUCACUCCUGAUAACAUAUCUGUCUCCCUGCACUGAGGCUGGAUCAUGCUCAGUCAUAAAAUAUAUAGUCAGAGUAUAUUUUAUGUUUGUGAUACUAUGGAGUUAUUUAUACAAAUUUAAAUCUUUUAAAAAUUAAAUUAUGUAAUAUUUCAAACUCACCAAAUAUACAAAAAGUAAAAUGACAUCCACUUAGAUAUGAUACAUGUUAAACCACUUGGUUGUAAUAGAUCUUUACAUUUUUCUUGCUUGCAUUCAGUUUUCUUUCUUCUCCUCCUCCUUUUUAAAAAAAACUUAUUAAUGUGACAUUUCAAACAUAUAAAAGAAGAAACAACAAUCUUGUGUGAUCUAUAUACAUAUCCACUCCUCCAUCUCCUGAUAUUAUUUGGUAGCAAGUCGUAGACAUAAUUAUUACUUCAUCCAUACAUAUUUUAACAUCAAUCUUUAAAAUAAAAGGAUUAAUUUAAGAAUAGACCUACACUAUCAUAUAGCACCUAAAUAAUAAUUCUUAAAUAUCCUUGAGUAUUCACUCAGUAUUCAAACAUUCCUGUUUUUUUCAUAAUUUAUAAGUUUGUUUGAAUCAGAACCAAAGAGAAGUUCAUACAUUGCAAUUAGUUGAUAGAUUGCUUAGCUCUCAUAAUUUGUACACUCCAAAUUUUGCCGAUUGCAUCCAAGUAGCUCCAUUUACACUUUUUUUUGAUCCCCUGUUUUUCAGUAAAUUGGGGGUUGAAUCUAGACCUUUAUGGGGAUAUAAGCUCUCUUUUUAAAGCAAAAAUAUUUAAUAGAUACCUUGUAUACUUCUAUUGGAGCAUAUAAUGUUGAUUUUGUCUUUCUCUUAUGAUUACUGCUAAGAUCAUCUGAGCAUUUUCUCUUUAAAGAAGUAAAAUGCUACAGAUACUAUUAAAGUCCUAUCCCACCAUCUUUCCCUCCCUAGAGGUAAAUACUAUUCUGAAAUUUGUAAGUUUUGUGUUCAUGCUUGUUUUUACAUGUGAGCUAUAUAUGCAGAUGUUUAUAAACUAGAUUUAAACUGUGUUCACAGUCAGAUACAAUGGUUCACUCCUGUAAUCCCAGCACUUUGGGAGGCCCAGACAGGAGGAUCACUUGAGCCCAGGAGUUUGAGACCAGCGUGAGUAACAUAGUGAGACUCUGUCUCUACAAAAGUUAAAAUUAAAAAAUUAGGCAGGUGUGGUGAUGCAUACCUGCAGUUCCAGCUACUCAAGAGGCUGAGGUAGGAGGAUCUCUUGAGCCUGGGAGGUUGAAGCUGCAGAGAGCCAAGAUCAUGCCACAGCACUCCAGCUGGGUAACAGGACAAGAUUCUGUCUAAAAAAAAAAGAAGUGUCUUUAUAUUUAAAAUUUUUACACAUUUGGUAUCACACUGCAUGAAGACAUUUACAGCUUUCUUUUGGUUUUGAUCUAUGUCAAUGUAUUAGAAUAUAAUUCAUCUUUUAAAACUAUAGUUUAAUUUUGCAUUAUAUGAAUGAAUCCCACUUUAUUUUAUCAAUACCUUUACUUAUGGACAAGUAUGUCAGUUUCACUUUCUCCUAUUAUCAAUAGCAUUGCAAUGAAUAUUCUUGUCUUUGAGUCCUCGUGCAUAUGGACUCAAGUUACUCCAGGGUAGGCACUUAAACGGGAAAUUUCUGAGUUGCAGUGGUGUGCUGAAGUUAAUUCAUGCUGUCUCUUGGGAGUCUGUUAAGUUGUCAGAAUUCUGAAAGGUGGUUAUUAAAAAUAAAAAUUAUUAAAAAUUAAAGUAUAGGCCGGGCACAGUGGCACACGCCUAUAAUCCCAGCACUUUGGGAGGCCGAGGCGGGUGGAUCACAAGGUCAAGAGAUCAAGACCAUCCUGGUCAACAAGGUGAAACCCCGUCUCUACUGAAAAUACAAAAAUUAGCUGGGCAUGGUGGUGUGCGCCUGUAGUCCCAGCUACUCGGGAGGCUGAGGCAGGAGAAUUGCUUGAACCCAGAAGGCAGAGGUUGCGGUGAGCCGAGAUUGUGCCGUUGCACUCCAGUCUGGGUAACAACAGCGAAACUCCGUCUCAAAAAAAAAAAAAAAUUAAAGUAUAUAAACUUAUAAUUAUGUAAAUUAUACUAGAAACAAAAGUAAUAAAUACCUAAAAUUUAUCAUUUGCUAAUUAUUUUACUCCAAUGUACUAUGUUCCUGUUGUACAUACUACAACUGUCUGUGCUCUUGGGGUUAUGUACAUCUAUUGUAAAUCUGCAUGGCGGAAAUACCAUAUAACAGCCUGCUGUUGCUCAUCUCUUCGCAACUCUGAGCUGAGUGGCAUCACAUUGGUAACUUGAAAUUAGCAUGAUGGGGGUGUUUACACCACAGAAAUUGAACACGGCUAUAAUACAAAUCACGGCUUAAUUUACUGUUUUGUUGGUGGUGUCGAUUUGAGAAUGUGAGGGGAAAAUGUUAAUAAUGCAGAUUAAUUUUUAAAAUAUAUCAUGCCACAUUGGGCAUGAUGGCUCACAUCUGUAAUCCCAGCACUCUGGGGGGCCAAGGCAGGAGGAUCACUUGAAGCCAGGAAUUCAAGACCAGACUCAACAAAAAAGCAAGACCCCAUCUCUGUAAAAUAAAAUAAAAUAAAAUGUGUUGGGUGUGGUGUCACAGGCCUGUUGUCCUGGCUACUCUGGAUGCUGAAGUGGGAGAAUCACUUGAACUCAGGAAUUUGAGGCUGCAGUAAGCUGUGAUUGUGCCACUUCACUCCAAUCUAGUUGACAGAGCAAGACCUUGUCUCAAAAAAAUAAAAAGUAUUUCAUGUCUAUAGCCCUUAUGUUGAUUGCAAAUAGCAUUAAAAAAUUGAGGAUAUAUUCUUCCAAUAUUUGAUUAAAGAUAUCAAAGGAUGCAUUUUUAAAAAAUUAUUUUACUGUAGAGAUGGGGUCUCAUCCUGUUGGUCUUGAACUCACACAUUUUUCUUUUUUUUCUCUCUCUCUCUCUUUAUGAGACAAGGUCUUACUCUGUCACCCAGGCUGGAGUAUAGUGGCAUGAACAUGAGUCACUACAGUCUCGACUUCCUAGGCUCAAGAGAUCCUCCCACCUCGGCAAUGCCCCUCUAUUCCCAAAGUAGCUGGGAAGACAGACACAUGCCAUCAUGCCUGGCUAUUUUUUCAGAUUUUUGUAGAGAUGGGGCUCCACCAUGUUGCCUAGGCUGGUCUCAACCUCCUGAUCUCAAGCCGUUUCCCCGGCUUGGCCUCCCAAAGUGCUAGGAUUACAAGCAUGAGCCCCUGCAUUCAGCCCACACUUUUCUUCUGAAAGAAGAUGUAAGAGGGUAUCUAUGUGGACAACAAGGAGGCAUCUCCCAAAUCCAUUUUCAAGAAAGGUCUCAUUGGCCAGCUGUAAGGAAUGUGGAAAACUGUCAGCCUCUAGCUAUUAGCUUUGGGUUUACCUCCGCUUUUAGCUCACAUUCAUGCUGUUCUUGUGGAGGCCACCAGACAAUGAGUGAGCAAGAUGGUAGUCAAUGUUCAAGUCAUUUCUACCCAACACGGGAUUCCUUAGAUAGGCAAUCUUUGCUAUGGAGUAUCUUUUUGGUUCGUAGAAACUGUGUCAAAUGUUCCUUCGGUUUGGCAGCCCAGUUGCUCUCUCUUUUUUUCAUUCUUAGAUGUUAAGCCCCAAUAAGACUUUUGCACACCUGACUUCAUCUCAGGGUCUGUUUCCUGGGGAACAGGAAACACCUGUCCCACCUUCACCAAUCUUUAUGACUUUGAGUUAGAACAGGAUUUUUUCCUUUAUUAUUUAAAAAAUCCUAUGACAUGAGUCCAUUGCAUUUUUGUUGGAAUUGCUGAUUAGGAUCAUGUUAUGAUAGGGAUUGCAUACAAUUCCACUGAGUUUGGAAUUUUGAACACUGAAUUCAGACUCAGUUCUAGAAGCAAUUAUUUGCUGGAAUAUUAGGUGGAGUUGUCAUGGCUGGGUGCAGUGACUCAAGCCUGUAAUCCCAGCACUUUGGGAGGCUGAGGCAGGUGGUUUGCUUGAGUCCAGGAGUUUGAGACGAGCUGGGCAAUAUGAUGAGACCCCAUCUCUACAAAAUAUACAAAAAAUUACCUGGUCAUGGUGGCACGUGUCUGUAGUCCUAGCUACAUGGGGCUGAGAUAAAGAUGCUGGGCAAAGGUGAGCGGUGUGAAAUAAUGUGAAGAAGGUCACGUUGGUAAGGACAGAGCAUAUACUUCAAACUACAUCUGUCUGGUGCCCAAGCUGAUACACAAUGGAGAGCUAACAUGUAUGUGGACAAUAAAGAGAAUAAUCAGAAGAAAGAGAAAUCUGAGUUGGAAUCCAAUAUGGGCCCCAGUAGUGGCAUCUGAAUAGGUCUUGAGGAUGGGGACGGCAUACUAGGAAGCUGUAGAGACUACCAGGAAAAAGCAUGAAAGUAGGAGUAGCACACUGUAUGUGAAGGACGGUGGCCCUGAAAGGGCAAAAGUGAUUUUGCAGAAGCGGGAGGUAAGCUUGGUAAUCGUUUGAUUUCAUAGUGCUAGGCUUUAGAAGAACACAAAAGUUUGAACCUGAUUAGGAGUCAUUGCAAGGCAUUAUAAGUCCCUGAGAAUUGUCUGAAGGACAAUGUCAUAAUUAAUGAAAUGAAAUGAUUAUUUUGUGAACAGGAGAUAGAACAUAUCCCUUGAACUACAACUGAGAUUAAUGGAAAUUCUGUGGUUAAAAUUUAAAAUCUGGCAAAUGAUAAAGAAUAUUCAGGCAAGCUUUUGCCACAAAUCUGCUGCUUAAAAAAAAAAGUCAUAGACCCUCAAAAUAAUACCCAGGCAAUUGAAAAAGCCAGCAUGUGAUUUACAAUAUGCCACUGAAUUUGAAGAGCUUUGAAAGGAGGUUUACUUAAACCUCAUGAACACAAUGAUUUAAAGCAUGGAGUGGAGCCACUAGUGUGGGCUGAAGUAAGAAAGGUUAUUGCAAAAACAGCUUGUCUUCUCUUGCAUGGAAAAAAAAAACAGAAGCAGGGAGGGUCUGUACUCAAUCAGCAUGUCUAAAUGACUGUAUCACCCUAAAAAAUGCAGGUCAACACUGGGCUUUUCAAAGUUAAGAUGGAUUUCACCUCCCUUCCUCUUCCCUCCUCCGCAUGCUCAAGACGCUGUACCACCAUCCUUUGUGAUCACUACAGGAUUGAAUUGGUGAUGAGCUGGAACUGAGAUUUGGAACAGAACACUGUGAAAUCAACACACCACCUGGGGCAGAAAGUCCAAGAAACAUAAAUUUCUUGGAAAAUGACCCUAUAUUUUGGCAAUCAUUGCUGUGAAUGAGAAUACUUCAGAAUCUUAACCCAGAAUAAAGUAGAAGGCUUUGCCCCACAAACUCCUCUACAAUAUCUUUUACUAUAAUGUUUAUCCCUGUCUCACACUUGCAGGAAAAAUGAUGCUUAUUCCUGAAUGACUUCGAAGGAUUUUAUACUAUAAAACAAUUUCAGACUUUAUUGUGUGCUAUUAAAACUUUAAAUUCUUUUUCUCACUAUAAAGAUUUUCUUUUGAGGAAUGUUAUAAAUGCAUUGAAAUGCUUUAAAAUAAAAACACAUAAUAAAUUUAGAUAAUCUACUAAUAUUUACAGUUUAAACGUUUCCGUUUUCAGGUGUUAAAACUUCAUGUAGCAAGUCAGGCUAACCUAGAACCUCCUGUAAUUAGGACCCCACAGUAGAAAAGAGACAAAUUACAAGUGAACUACUUUUGGCAUCUUCCUGAUUGAUUUCUCUGGGCAGAGUACAGUAGGGAGCCUGGCAAAUUCCACUUCAUUCUAUAGUAAGUAGAGUGUGCAAGUCCAAAGGUCUUUUUCUGCAGAAAUAGUAUUCUUUAAAAGUCUGGAAAAGGCCAGGUGUAGUAGCUAAAGCCUGUAAUUCCAGUGCCUUGGGAGGCCAAGGCAGCAGGAUCGCCUGACUCCAGGAGUUUGAGACCAUCCUAACAACAAAGUGAGACCCCGUCCCUCUACAAAACAUAAAAUUAGCUGGGUGGUGUUUGCCUAUAGUCCCAGCUACUCAGGAGGCUGAGGUGGGAGAAUCAUCUGAGCCCAGGAGUUUGAGGUUUCAGUGAGCUAUGCUCAUACCACUGCACUCAAGCCUGGAUGACAGAGUGAGACUCUUUCUCUAUAAAUAAAUACAUAAAAAUACAAUAAUUAACAGUCUACCUGGGACUUGUGACCUGGAGUUUGGGGAAUCAGAGAGAAUAAGACACCCACUAUGCUGCUUUGUUAAAGCCAGGGAUGCCAUCUUUCACCUCCGUGCUUCUUCUUGUAUUCUCUUAAUUAAUCUCUGAAAAGCAAGUGAUAAAUACACGUGAAAAUAACUUGAGAAUGGGAACUCCUCUUGGAGUAAAGUUCUGAGUUCUAGACAUAGCUCUGCCAUUUAACAGUAUGGUGUUGCACAGUUUUAACCUCUGAGCUUCAGGGUUUUUUUGUUUUGUUUUGUUUUUGGCAACUCAUUAAUUCAAGCAAUAUUUGCUGUGUGCCCUGAGUUAGGCACUGAAGUUACAGAAAUGAGAAGUUUACACACAGAUUCUGUCUUUGUAAAGCUUAUAACCUAUGGAGGGAAAUAGAUACUAAACAAACAAUUGCAUUAAUAAUGAGUUGGUUAUAGUUUUGAUGAGGCCAAGAAGGGACAGUACAGUAGAGAUUGAUACCUCAUAACAGAGGAUCCUAAGCUUGCUUUUGUGGGUUCUAAAUGACAAAAUGUGCCUGACACAUAGGAGGUUCAACAAAUGCUAGCUGAAUCCGAAAGUAUGCUAUUUGACUGAUAGAAAACCUGACAAUACAAAAAACAAAAAGCAAAACCCAAUGUAUUAGUCCAUUUUCAUGCUGCUGAUAAAGACAUACCCGAGAUGGGGUAAUUUAUAAGGAAAAAAGAAGUUUAAUGGACUCACAAUUCGACAUGGCUGGGGAGGCCUCACAAUCACGGCAGAAGGCAAAAGUCACAUCUUACAUGGUGGCAGACAAGAAAGAAGGAGAGCCAAAAAAAAAAAAAAAGAAGAGGCUUGUCUCCCCUUAUAAAAACAUAAGAUCUCAUGAGACUUAUUCAUUACCAAGAGAAUAGUAUAGGGAAAACCACCCCCAUGAUUCAAGUAUCUCCCACCAGGUCCAUCCCACAACACAUGGGAAUUGUGGGAGCUACAAUUCAAGAUGAGAUUUGGGUAUGGACAAAACCAAACCAUAUCACCCCAGGACCAAAGUUCUCUGAUUGCUGUUUUAGUUCAUUUGCUGCUCAGAAAACGAUAGCAAUCUUCUCAUUCAGGAAGCUGACAGAAGAAAAGUGAAGAAUUUCAUGUAGCAUGUGCUUUACCUUGAGGAGAGGGAGAGAAUACUUCAAGGACUCAAAUUUAGUAUAUCUCUUAGGUAUAAAUAAAUCUUAAGGAAUUCAUGUAAGUGGCUUUUUUGUUCUCUCUCUCUCUGUGUGUGUGUGUGUGUGUGUGUGUGUGUCUGUGUGUGUGUGUGUGUGUUUACCCCCACACUGCUUUGGUGUCUUACCCAAAACGGAAGUCCUUUGACAAGUGAUUUUAUUUUCCUUAGAAACUUAAAAUGUAUAGCAAUGACUCAAGGGCCAUUGGGUAAGAUAUUUAAUUGAAAUAAAUUUAAUUCAAUUUUGUGCAUUUUACCACAUUUCUAUGUGGAAAAAAAAAUAGAAGGAAUCUGACCUGAUAAUUGAAUGGAAUCUUGUUCUACUAGCGUUCAUCAAAUGGAAAGAUUAUUCUGCUGCAAGGCAAAGUGCAGCUAAAAAUGGAUUAUAGCCCCAAGAGGCAACCCAGGAAGCAUCAUAAUGGCUCACCUGAUGAACUCGAAAUCUGAAUUUUAUGAGAAAAAAUACUGCUUUCAGUAACGCAGUGGUUCUGUUUUUUUAUAUGAUUGCUUGAGAUAUUUAGGAUAUCUUGUGUUAUUGUGGCCAUCUUUAAGAUCAAGGAACCAAAACAAAAGAAAGAAGGAAGUUACCUCCUCAGGGAAACGUUAUUAGUCAGAAGUAAGACCAGAAGUACAUUUCUCUGACUCACAGGAUUCAGCUUCAAGAGUCAGUGACCUGAUGAGGGGAAAUGGCAAAAUAAAGAGGGGGAUGGGGAGAAAAAUGAAGUCCAUAGAGAAAGAGUGGAGAAAGAAGUUGAAGGAGAGAAAUUUUAAAAGAAUUGCUUCUUCUAUAUUAAUUUAGAGAGGCUGGAAACAACUUUAUAGAAAUUUUAAUGAAAGUUACAAUAUCUGGGAAAAUUUUUCACUGUUUCUUUUCUUUCUUCUUCUUCCUCUUUUUUUUGAAACAGGGUCUUGGCCAGGCACGGUGGCUCAUACCUGUUAUCCCUGCACUUUGGGAAGCCAACAUAGGUGGAUCACAAGGUCAGGAAUUUGAGACCAUCCUGGCCAAUAUGGUGAAACCCCAUCCCUACUAAAAAUACAAAAUUAGCUGGGUGUGGUGGUGGCCGCCUGAGUCCCAGCUACUCAGGAAGCUGAGGCAGGAGAAUCGCUUGAACCCGGGAGGCGGAGGUUGCAGUGAGCUGAGGUAGCGCCACUGCACUUGAGCCUGGGUGACAGAGGGAGACUCUGUCUCAAAAAAAAGGAAGAAAGGAAAAGAGGGGAAAAAAAGAAACAUUCUCACUCCUGCUGCCGAGGCUGGAAUGCAGUGGCACCACAGCUCACUGCGGCAUUGACUUCCUGGGCUCAAGUGAUGCUCCCACCACAGUCCCUAUGAGUAACUGGGACUAUAGGGUGAGCCACCAUGCCUGGCUAAUUUUUGUAUUUUUAGAAGAGAAGGGGUUUUGCCAUGUUGCCCAGGCUGAUCUCAAACUCCUCCACCUAACUCAGCCUCCCAAAGUACUGGGUUUACAGGCAAGAGCCACCGUGCCCAGCCCUGAUUGUUCCUUUGACUGUUUUUGAAUGAAAACCCCAAAACACUGAUAAGUUAAAUGUUCAGAAGAUCAAAAUUUGGAAGAGAGAACAUGAUUUUUUUAAGUGAAAGCAAGUUUAUUAAGAACGUAAAGGACUAAAGAAUGGCUGCUCCAUAAGCAGAACAGCGAGAUAGCAUGAUUUUUAAAAUGUUACAGAUUGGAAAAUUGGGCCAAAAUAAGUAAUAUAAAAUGUAGGAUUGAUAAAAUUUAACAUUUAGAUUCUUACCUAAUGACACAAAUCCUGCCUACCCUAGCUUUGUUCAGAGCCCACGAUGACAUCAUCCAUAGGCUCUGUUUACUCCUUGUUCAGAGCCCACGAUGACGUCAUCUAUAGGCUCUGUUUACUCCUUGUUCAGAGCCCACGAUGACGUCAUCCAUAGGCUCUGUUUACUCCUUGUUCAGAGCCCACGAUGACGUCAUCCAUAGGCUCUGUUUACUCCUUGUUCAGAGCCCACGAGGACGUCAUCCAUAGGCUCUGUUUCCUCCUUGUUCAGAGCCCACAAUGACGUCAUCCAUAGGCUCUGUUUCCUCCUUGUUCAGAGCCAACGAUGAUGUCAUCCAUAGGCUCUGUUUCCUCCUUGCCGACACCCGGGCUAAUGAAAGCGGUCUUGUCAGUGUAUUCGUACCUCCUUCCUGUACCUGAAAUUAGCAUAGAUCAAAUGUGCAAUAGAAGAUGCCACACUCUAAUCGUUAAGAGUGUGGACUUGGUCCUCAAAAUAACUUUUCUUUGGAUUAUGCAUCCUACUGUAUGAUCUUGAGAAAAUUACUUAAUCUUUCUAAGUUUCAAUUCCUUCAUUUAGAAAAAUGUGAUUCCUGAUAGUAACUAACAUAGAGGGUUGCUGUGAGGAGUAAGUGAAGUAACACAUAACCCAGUAGUUAAAUGCAGACUUUGGAGCCAAAAUGCCUGAGUUUGAAUUCUACUUCUACUAACUGUGGUCCAUUUGAUUUUAGGUAAGUUGAUUAUCUUCUUCAUGUCUCAGUUUUCUUAUUUACAAUAUAGGGGUAAUACACACUGUCUAUCCCAUAGAUUGGGGGGGAUUAAAUUAAUUUAAGUAAAACACUUAGAAUAGUACCUGGCAUAUAGAAAGCACCCAAUAAGUGAUUACGAUUAUUAUUAUAUAAUUAAUCAAUAUAUAUUAGCUACUAUCAUAUGUCUUUAUUUUUAAUAUUAUUACCACUAUAUGCAUUAUCUCCUGAGCAACAGAGGAAGCAUUGACCUUAAACCUCUCUAUAUAAUGGCUAUUUUAUGUGUCAAAUUUCAAUAACUCUUUCCCUUGUUUCUGAUUUAAAUUCAGAUCUCUUCUGGUCUAUUAGCCUCACUGUGAACCACAAUUAUUCUUAUUCUCUCAGUUUGACCAGAAUUCAGUUUCCCUCAUCCCAGUUCUAGAUGGUAAUUUCAGGAUCCUCCAACUAUGGAUCGGCCCUCACACCAAUGAAGACAGAUUUCUAAGGGAUGGUGACUCUGAAACCCACCUGAUGACAAGAAUCUUCUCUUCCUUGGAAAGCCACCCAUAGUAGUUUUUGGAUAUCUCUGCUAGUCUGGAUCAAAAUUAACUUUCAGGAGCCUUUAAAUUUUUUUAGUUAGAAUUCUACACCAUUUUCAGGACCAGGUUGUGGAAACACCUAGUUGGCGAUGGAUGAGUUCUUCUAGUUCACCAGUCUCAACUUGUGACAGGCAUCACUAAUACACAACUAAUUUAUACUGACCUAACAAAAGGUUAGUGUAUGGAGAGGAGAACAUCUUUAAAAAUCCAAUAUAUGAAUUCUCAUUUUUAAAAUACUGGGCAUCAGUUUGAUUAGCAGGAAUUAUUAAGAGUGUAUCUAGUUCACUUUAAAAAACAAUUAUACUGUAAGUUCUGGGACACAUAUGUAGAACAUGCAGGUUUGUUAUAUUAGGUAUACACGUACCAUAGUGGUUUGCUGCAACCAUCAACCGGUCAUCUACAAUAGGUAUUUCUUGUAAUGCUAUCCCUCCCCUAACCCCCUACCCCUCUACAGGCUUCAGUGUGUGAUGUUCCCUUCCCUAUGUCCAUGUGUUCUCAUUGUUCAACUCCCACUUAUGAGUGAGAACAUGUGGUGUUUAUUUUAAUGUUCCUGUGAUUCCUGAGAAUGAUGGUUUCCAGCUCCAUCCAUGUCCCUGCAAAGAACAUGAACUCAUCCUUCUUUAUGGAUGCAUAGUAAUCCAUGGUGUCUAUAUGCCACAUUUUCUUUAUCCAGCCUAUUAUUCCUGGGCAUUUGGGUUGGUUCCAAGUCUUUGCUAUUGUGAACACAAUAAACAUAAGUGUGCAUGUGUCUUUAUAGUAGAAUGAUUUAUAAGCCUUUGGUUAUAUGCCCAGUGAUGGGAUUGCUGGGUCAAAUGAUGUUUCUGGUACAAGAUCCUUGAAGAAUCACCACACUGUCUUCCACAAUGGUUGAACUAAUUUACACUCCCACCAACAGUGUAAAAGUGUUCCUAUUUCACCACAUCCUCUCCAGCAUCUGUUGUUUCUUGACUUUAAAAAGUCAGGAAAUCACCAUUCUAACUGGUGUGAGAUGGUAUCUCAUUGUGGUUUUGAUUUGCAUUUCUCCAAUGAUCAGUGAUGAUGAGCUUUUUUUCAUAUGUUUUUUGGCCACAUAAAUGUCUUCUUUUAAGUGUCUGUUCAUAUACUUCACCCACUUUUUGAUGGGGUUGUUUGUGUUUUGCUUGUAAAUUUGUUUAAGUUCUUUGUUAGAGUCUAGAUAUUAGCCUUUUGUCAGAUGGAUAGAUUGCAAAACUUUUUUCCCAUUCUGUAGGUUGCCUGUUCACUCUGAUGAUAAUUUCUUUUGCUGUACAGAAGCUCUUUAGUUUAAUUAGAUCCCAUUUGUCAAUUUUGGCUUUUGUUUUCAUUGCUUUUGGUGGUUUUAGUCAUGAAGUCUUUGCUGAUGCCUAUGUCCUGAAUGAUAUUGCCUAGGUUUUCUUCUAGGGUUUUUAUGGUUUUAGGUCUAUGUUUAAGUCUUUAAUCCAUCUUGAGUUAAUUUUUGUAUAAGGUAUAAGGAGGUUCAGUUUCAGCUUUCUACAUAUGGCUAGCCAGUUUUCCCAACACUAUUUAUUAAAUAGGGAAUCCUUUCCCCAUUGCUUGUUUUUGUCAUAUUUGUCAAAGAUCGAAUAGUUGUAGAUGUGUGGCGUUGCCUCUGAGGCCUCUGUUCUGUUCCAUUGGUCUAUAUCUCUGUUUUGGUACCAGUACCAUGCUGUUUUUAUUACUGUAGCCUUGUACUAUACUUUGAAGUCAGAUAGCGUGUUGCCUCCAGCUUUGAGCUUUUUGCUUAGGAAUGUCUUGGCUAUGUAGACUCUUUUUUGGUUCCAUAUAAAAUUUAAACUAGUUUUUUUCUAAUUCUGUGAAGAAAGUCAAUGGCUACUUGAUGGAAACGGCAAUGAAUCUAUAAAUUACUUUGGACAGUGUGACCAUUUUCACAAUAUCGAUUCUUCCUAUCCAUGAGCAUGGAAUGUUUUUCCAUUUGUUUGUGUCAUCUCUUAUUUUCUUGAGCAGUGGUUUGUAGUUCUCCUUGGAGAGGUCCUUCACAUCCCUUGUUAGUUGUAUUCCUAUGUAUUUUAUUCUCUUUAGAGCAAUUGUGAAUGGGAGUUCACUCAAGCUUUGGCUCUCUGUUUGUCUACUAUUGGUGUAUAAGAAUGCUUGUGAGUUUUGCACAUUGAUUUUGUAUCCUGAGACUUUGCUGAAGUUGCUUAUCAGCUUAAGGAGAUUUUGAACUGUGAUGAUAGGGUCUUCCAAACAUACAGUCAUGUCAUCUCCAAAUAGAGACAAUUUGACUUCCUCCUUUCCUAAUUGAAUACCCUUUAUUUCUUUUUCUUGCCUGAUUGCCCCGUCCAGAACUUCCAAUACUAUGUUGAAUAGAAGUGGUGAGAGAGGGCAUCCUUGUCUAGGGCCAGAUUUCAAAGAGAAUGCUACCAGUUUUUUCCAUUCAGUAUGAUAUUGGCUGUGGGUUUGUCAUAAAUAGCUUUUAUUAUUUUGAGAUACGUUCCAUUGAUACCUAGUUUAUUGAGAGAUUUUAGCAUAAAGUGCUGUUGAAUUUUGUGGAAGGCCUUCUCUGCAUCUAUUGAGAUGAUCAUGUGGUUUUUGUCUUUGGUUUUGUUUAUGUGAUGGAUUAUGUUUAUAGAUUUCAUUAUUUACCCAGUAGUCAUUCAGGAGCAGGUUGUUUAGUUUCCAUGUAGUUGUGCAGUUUUGAGUGAGUUUCUUAAUCCUGAGUUCUAAUUUGAUUGCACCGUGGUCUGAGAGACUAUGAUUUCCAUUCUUUUGCAUUUGCUGAGAAGUGUUUUGCUUCCAAUUGUGUGGUCAAUUUUAGAAUAAGUGUGACGUGCUGCUAAAAAGAAUGUAUAUUCUGUUGAUUUGGGAUAGAGAAUUCUGUAGAUGUCCGUUAGGUUUGCUUGGUCCAGAGCUGAGUUCAAGUCCUGAAUAUCCUUGUUAAUUAUUUGCUCAAUAAAUAGACUCUAUCAAAUCCUUUUGGAUAUUGUUGUCUAAAAACUGUUUGCUUGGUUUUGAUGAACUAAUACUAAUAUUACAAUUGUUAAUAUCUGCAUCAG
Non-coding RNA from Callithrix jacchus (white-tufted-ear marmoset), 39628 nucleotides. NCBI's taxonomy places the organism in Eukaryota, Metazoa, Chordata, Mammalia, Primates, Cebidae. The record is from RefSeq and is a predicted model, not a curated record.